AUGCUUUGUCCAAAGCAAGAUUCAAACCGUCACCAUUUGUACCGUACAUUGCCUGUUAACCCUGCCCAGUCUGCCGAAGUCGGAAGAAGACGACGAAAUAGAAGUUUGCGGGGUUACCGUGGUGGGAAGGGGGGCAUUUCUUGGGUGAAAUUCUUUCCCAAGGUUAUUUUGAAAAGGAGUCUCCCCCCACAUACACACACCCGUGUCUGCCCCCUUUUUCUCACAUGGCGCCGUGGACACCCACCGACGUGGAUACCGGCUCAGGACUCAGACCCAGUCAAUGCUAAGAACAGCCUCUCCCCCAAACCCCGGGCGCCCACGGCCUCAGUCUCAAGUGUAGCCGCUGCCCCUGCCCGGGGCCAUGAGCCCCUCCAGGGAGGGAGCGACGACCGAACCAAGUCCUCACGGUGGCCCCGAACCCGCGGCCUCCGCCGUCCCCGGGCGCGCCCCGCCAGGCGGUGGCCCCUCACGCAGCACUUCAGGGACACGGGAAGAAAACGCUGUCCACCGCCGUGCAGCCCCCGACCGGCUCCGGAGGGCGGCGGGGCGCUCGGGGCGCAAGGCGAGGCGCUCUCGCCGCUGCCGAGAAACACGCGCCCAGGGUCUUUUCCCUGGCCGCGAUCACGCGGGUUCCCCGGAGCUUGUCAGCGACUCCUUUCGGGAUCUCGGGCCGCAGAGCCGUGCGACCUCUGGGCCGCGGGGCUCCGGGGCCGAUCCGCCCCCCACUCUCUCCCCGUACAGGAAAGCCCUCGCCUCCCGCGAGCCGCCUUCGCGCGUGCAGUUCCCAAGUCCCAGCUCCCACUCAGCGGGCGCCGGGGCCGAGCGCUCCGCCACCACGCGCCCGGACUUUGCACGAGAGAGGUCGCGGGGAAGGCGAGGCUCGGCGGCCCGCUCCGCUCCCUCCGCGGUCAGCCACCCGCGCUGCCCUGGGGCGAGCUCCCGGAGCCCCUUCGGACCGGCACGGGAGCGCCUCCGCCACCUUUUUCUUUUUUUUGCGAACCGCCAGGACCGUAA
Molecule: long non-coding RNA, 1014 nt
Filed under: Oryctolagus cuniculus (rabbit)
Lineage: Eukaryota; Metazoa; Chordata; Mammalia; Lagomorpha; Leporidae
Description: lncRNA (ENSOCUG00000032419.1)
Source: RNAcentral